This 1253-nucleotide long non-coding RNA is filed under the name Callithrix jacchus (white-tufted-ear marmoset). Its description in RNAcentral is "lncRNA (ENSCJAG00000072063.1)". The record is from RNAcentral. Lineage: Eukaryota; Metazoa; Chordata; Mammalia; Primates; Cebidae.
GCGGGCUUCAACCAUGGCUUCAACUGUGCAGAGGCCAUCAAUUUUGCCACUCCACGAUGGAUUGAUUAUGGCAAAGUGGCUUCACAGUGUAGCUGUGGGGAGGCGAGGGUGACCUUUUCCAUGGACGCCUUCAUGCGCAUCUUGCAACCAGAGAGCUAUGGGCUCUGAAAAUGCAGGUAUUUAUUUAUGUGAGCAAUGUGAGGAUGGACUAUUACAGUCACCUUACUCAUCCAAUCCAAGGAGAAAAGAAAUGGAGAAAUCUAAGAAGGAUAUGGAAAACUCAAACUACAUUAACAAUAAGGUAGAAUUGGUAUUCCAGAAGAUAGAAAAUACUCCCUCUCAGCUGGGCGCAGUGGCUCACUCCUGUAAUCCCAGCACUUUGGGAGAUGAAGGUGGGCAGAUCACAAGGUCAGGAGUUCGAGACCAGCCUGGCCAAUAUGGUGAAACCGCAUCUCUACUAAAAAUAGAAAAGUUAGCUGAACAUGGUGGUAUGCACCUAUAGUUCCAGCUACUGAGGAGGCUGAGCAGAAGAAUCGCUUGAACUGGAGAGGCAGAGGUUGCAGUGAACCGAGAUCACACCACUGCACUCUAGCCUGGGCCACAGAGUGAGACUCCAUCUGAAAAAAAAAAAAAAAUACAAAAAACUCCCUCUCUUCAGGUGCCAAAGAAUGAAUCACAAAAUAUGACCAUAUAUUAGGCGCUACGCCCAAGAUGCCAAGGCUGCCAUGGACAGGGAGGUGCUGGACGGAUGCUAGCUGAGGGUGCAGGUGGCGCACUAUGGCCGCCGCUGGGACGAGGCGCUGGGACCUGCCCCGCAGCCGCCAGGGAGUGCCACGUGGCAGGUCCGCGGGAUACACACCCUACUUGUCAACGCACCCUACUUGUACUUUGGCACAUGGAAGACCACGGAGGGCGGCGGCUACGGACGGCGCAGCUGCAGCUCUAGGGGGCGACACCGCAGCCGCAGCUCUAGGGGGCGACACCGCAGCCGCAGCUCUAGGGGGCGACACCGCAGCCGAUCCCGAGGUCCCAGCUGCUCCACGUCCAGCAGUCUCUGCUUACAGACGAUCUCGCUACAGCCGAUCUGCCUACAGGAUUCCUACUCCAGUAUCCAGGAGGGAAUCCAAAUCCAGGUCGCUAUCCAGGAGUCCUCCCAAGUCUGAAGGGGAAGGACAAGUAUCCUCCUAGGAAAAUGGUCAACAGCUAAAGCGUGAUAGAGGACUUGGGGAAAAGGACGGCACACUCAGUCCAUG